Molecule: non-coding RNA, 65 nt
Organism: Dipodomys ordii (Ord's kangaroo rat)
Lineage: Eukaryota; Metazoa; Chordata; Mammalia; Rodentia; Heteromyidae
Source: Rfam
GGUGGCUCAGUGGUAGAGUGCUUGCCUUUCAGGCAUGAGGCCCUGGGUUUGAUUCCUCAGCACCA